AGUCCAAAAGCCACUCCCAAGUCGGCCUCAAGUCAAGCACGAAGCAAAAGACCACCAUUUUCAGCACAUUGGCCAGCGAAAAGUCCUUAUCUGACUGUAAAAAGCGAUGGAGAAUCUGUUCUGCAGGACUUUUCGUCAUUUUCUGGAUUAUUUACACUCAUGUGGAUGUUACCUAAUUGU
This is a long non-coding RNA of Hyaena hyaena (striped hyena), 180 nucleotides long. RefSeq lists it as uncharacterized. The transcript is spliced from 3 exons. The record is from RefSeq and is a predicted model, not a curated record. NCBI's taxonomy places the organism in Eukaryota, Metazoa, Chordata, Mammalia, Carnivora, Hyaenidae.